GACGAACGCUGGCGGCGUGCUUAACACAUGCAAGUCGAGCGGUAAGGCCCUUUCGGGGGUACACGAGCGGCGAACGGGUGAGUAACACGUGGGUGACCUGCCCUCAGCUCUGGGAUAAGCCUGGGAAACUGGGUCUAAUACCGGAUAUGACCCCAUGACGCAUGUCGUGGGGUGGAAAGCCUUGUGCGGCUGAGGAUGGGCCCGCGGCCUAUCAGCUUGUUGGUGGGGUGAUGGCCUACCAAGGCGACGACGGGUAGCCGGCCUGAGAGGGCGACCGGCCACACUGGGACUGAGACACGGCCCAGACUCCUACGGGAGGCAGCAGUGGGGAAUCUUGCGCAAUGGGCGAAAGCCUGACGCAGCGACGCCGCGUGAGGGAUGACGGCCUCGG
This 391-nucleotide ribosomal RNA is filed under the name uncultured bacterium. RNAcentral's name for it is "bacterial SSU rRNA". It matches the Rfam family "Bacterial small subunit ribosomal RNA", at positions 28 to 420 of the family's 1533-position model. The record is from RNAcentral.